Acomys russatus (golden spiny mouse) is the source of this 146-nucleotide small nuclear RNA. RefSeq annotates it as U4 spliceosomal RNA. The record is from RefSeq and is a predicted model, not a curated record. The transcript has a single exon. NCBI's taxonomy places the organism in Eukaryota, Metazoa, Chordata, Mammalia, Rodentia, Muridae.
AGCUUUGUGCAGUGGCAGUAUCGUAGCCAAUGAGGUUUAUCCGAGGCGCGAUUAUUGCUAAUUGAAAGAUUCAAGGGUGGUCAAACAUCCUUUGAUCUUAGUAGCUUGCUAAAAAAGCAAAGAAGCCUGUGACUGUCUGCACCAGG